Molecule: ribosomal RNA, 469 nt
Filed under: uncultured bacterium
Lineage: Bacteria
Description: partial 16S ribosomal RNA
Rfam family: Bacterial small subunit ribosomal RNA
Source: RNAcentral
GACGAACGCUGGCGGCGUGCUUAACACAUGCGAGUCGAACGGAAAGGCCCUGCUUGCCGGGUGCUCGAGUGGCGAACGGGUGAGUAACACGUGGGUGAUCUGCCCCUUACUUUGGGAUAAGCCUGGGAAACUGGGUCUAAUACUGGAUAGGACCAUGCUGUAGGUGGUGUGGUGGAAAGAUUAGUUUCGGUAAGGGAUGAGCUCGCGGCCUAUCAGCUUGUUGGUGGGGUAAUGGCCUACCAAGGCGUCGACGGGUAGCCGGCCUGAGAGGGUGGACGGCCCCAUUGGGACUGCGAUGCGGCCCAGACUCCUACGGGAGGCAGCAGUGGGGAAUAUUGCACAAUGGGCGCAAGCCUGAUGCAGCGACGCCGCGUGGGGGAUGACGGCCUUCGGGUUGUAAACUCCUUUCAGCCAUGACGAAGCCCUUGUGGUGACGGUAGUGGGAGAAGAAGCACCGGCUAACUACGUG